Molecule: ribosomal RNA, 491 nt
Filed under: uncultured bacterium
Lineage: Bacteria
Description: partial 16S ribosomal RNA
Rfam family: Bacterial small subunit ribosomal RNA
Source: RNAcentral
AGUGAACGCUGGCGGUAGGCCUAACACAUGCAAGUCGAACGGCAGCACAGUAAGAGCUUGCUCUUACGGGUGGCGAGUGGCGGACGGGUGAGGAAUACAUCGGAAUCUACUUUUUCGUGGGGGAUAACGUAGGGAAACUUACGCUAAUACCGCAUACGACCUACGGGUGAAAGCAGGGGAUCUUCGGACCUUGCGUGAUUGAAUGAGCCGAUGUCGGAUUAGCUAGUUGGCGGGGUAAAGGCCCACCAAGGCGACGAUCCGUAGCUGGUCUGAGAGGAUGAUCAGCCACACUGGAACUGAGACACGGUCCAGACUCCUACGGGAGGCAGCAGUGGGGAAUAUUGGACAAUGGGCGCAAGCCUGAUCCAGCCAUACCGCGUGGGUGAAGAAGGCCUUCGGGUUGUAAAGCCCUUUUGUUGGGAAAGAAAAGCAGCAGGUUAAUACCCCGCUGUUCUGACGGGACCCAAAGAAUAAGCACCGGCUAACUCCGU